Molecule: long non-coding RNA, 291 nt
Filed under: Prunus persica (peach)
Lineage: Eukaryota; Viridiplantae; Streptophyta; Magnoliopsida; Rosales; Rosaceae
Description: long non-coding RNA (PPER_LNC003394)
Source: RNAcentral
CCAAUUUGAUGGACCAAUCGAUAUCGGAUUGAGUCCAAAACUUGGGGAUCAUGAUAAUACGGUGGGAGGAGUCAUUUGGGGGGUUUUGAGUGAAAUCCAAUCUCUACAACUAUGCAAUACACCAACCACUCCAUUUCAUAACGAACUUCGUACGAACAUGAAUUGUCCAAUUUCAUGGACCAAUCGACAUCGGAUUGAGUCCAAAACUUGGGAAACAUCAUAAUAUGAUGGGAGGAGUCAUUUGGUGUCUUUUGACUGAAAUCCAUUGGCUAAAACUAUGCAAUACACCAA